RNAcentral lists this ribosomal RNA (528 nucleotides) under Debaryomyces prosopidis. RNAcentral describes it as "partial large subunit ribosomal RNA". It matches the Rfam family "Eukaryotic large subunit ribosomal RNA", at positions 79 to 612 of the family's 3401-position model. Lineage: Eukaryota; Fungi; Ascomycota; Pichiomycetes; Serinales; Debaryomycetaceae. The record is from RNAcentral.
CUUAGUAACGGCGAGUGAAGCGGCAAAAGCUCAAAUUUGAAAUCUGGCACCUUCGGUGUCCGAGUUGUAAUUUGAAGAAGGUAACUUUGGAGUUGGCUCUUGUCUAUGUUCCUUGGAACAGGACGUCACAGAGGGUGAGAAUCCCGUGCGAUGAGAUGCCCAAUUCUAUGUAAAGUGCUUUCGAAGAGUCGAGUUGUUUGGGAAUGCAGCUCUAAGUGGGUGGUAAAUUCCAUCUAAAGCUAAAUAUUGGCGAGAGACCGAUAGCGAACAAGUACAGUGAUGGAAAGAUGAAAAGAACUUUGAAAAGAGAGUGAAAAAGUACGUGAAAUUGUUGAAAGGGAAGGGCUUGAGAUCAGACUUGGUAUUUUGCGAUCCUUUCCUUCUUGGUUGGGUUCCUCGCAGCUUACUGGGCCAGCAUCGGUUUGGAUGGUAGGAUAAUGACUAAGGAAUGUGGCUCUACUUCGGUGGAGUGUUAUAGCCUUGGUUGAUACUGCCUGUCUAGACCGAGGACUGCGUCUUUGACUAGGA